AAUCAUAGCUCAGGAUGAACGCUAGCGACAGGCUUAACACAUGCAAGUCGAGGGGCAUCAUGAGGUAGCAAUACCUUGAUGGCGACCGGCGCACGGGUGAGUAACGCGUAUGCAACCUGCCCGAUACCGGGGUAUAGCCCAUGGAAACGUGGAUUAACACCCCAUAGUACUUUUAUCCUGCAUGGGAUGUGAGUUAAAUGUUCAAGGUAUCGGAUGGGCAUGCGUCCUAUUAGUUAG
Molecule: ribosomal RNA, 237 nt
Filed under: uncultured bacterium
Lineage: Bacteria
Description: partial 16S ribosomal RNA
Rfam family: Bacterial small subunit ribosomal RNA
Source: RNAcentral